ACCUGCACUUCGGGAUAAGCUUGGGAAACUGGGUCUAAUACCGGAUAGGAGCCAUCUUUAGUGUGGUGGUUGGAAAGUUUUUUCGGUGUAGGAUGAGCUCGCGGCCUAUCAGCUUGUUGGUGGGGUAAUGGCCUACCAAGGCGGCGACGGGUAGCCGGCCUGAGAGGGUGUACGGUCACAUUGGGACUGAGAUACGGCCCAG
RNAcentral lists this ribosomal RNA (202 nucleotides) under uncultured Actinomycetales bacterium. Its description in RNAcentral is "partial 16S ribosomal RNA". It matches the Rfam family "Bacterial small subunit ribosomal RNA", at positions 129 to 334 of the family's 1533-position model. Lineage: Bacteria; Bacillati; Actinomycetota; Actinomycetes; Actinomycetales. The record is from RNAcentral.